AUAUUUACCUGGCAGUGGAGUCACCAGGAUCACGAAGGUGGUUCCCCAGGGCGAGGUUUGUCCACUGCACUUCGGACGUUCUGACCCUGCGAUUUCCCCAAAUGUGGGAAACUCGGCUGCACAAUUUGUAGUAGUAGGGGACUGCGUUCGCGCUCUCCCCUG
This is a small nuclear RNA of Molossus molossus (Pallas's mastiff bat), 162 nucleotides long. RefSeq annotates it as U1 spliceosomal RNA. The record is from RefSeq and is a predicted model, not a curated record. The transcript has a single exon. NCBI's taxonomy places the organism in Eukaryota, Metazoa, Chordata, Mammalia, Chiroptera, Molossidae.